UCUCGAUUGGUCUAGUGGUCAGGAUACCUGCUUGUCAUCUGACAAGUACGCAGGUGGCCGGGGUUCGAUUCCCCGAUCGAGAG
RNAcentral lists this transfer RNA (83 nucleotides) under Hypoxylon sp. FL0890. Its description in RNAcentral is "tRNA-Asp". It matches the Rfam family "tRNA". Rfam says of the family: Transfer RNA (tRNA) molecules are approximately 80 nucleotides in length. Lineage: Eukaryota; Fungi; Ascomycota; Sordariomycetes; Xylariales; Hypoxylaceae. The record is from RNAcentral.